This 440-nucleotide ribosomal RNA is filed under the name uncultured bacterium. RNAcentral describes it as "partial 16S ribosomal RNA". It matches the Rfam family "Bacterial small subunit ribosomal RNA", at positions 338 to 795 of the family's 1533-position model. The record is from RNAcentral.
CCUACGGGAGGCAGCAGUGGGGAAUAUUGCACAAUGGGGGAAACCCUGAUGCAGCGACGCCGCGUGAGUGAAGAAGUAAUUCGGUAUGUAAAGCUCUAUCAGCAGGGAAGAAAAUGACGGUACCUGAGUAAGAAGCCCCGGCUAACUACGUCCCAGCAGCCGCGGUAAUACGUAGGGGGCAAGCGUUAUCCUGAUUUACUGGGUGUAAAGGGAGCGUAGACGGGAGUGCAAGUCUGAAGUGAAAGGCGGGGGCGCAACCCCCGGACUGCACUGGAAACUGUAAGGCUGGAGUGCAGGAGAGGUAAGUGGAAUUCCUAGUGUAGCGGUGAAAUGCGUAGAUAUUAGGAGGAACACCAGUGGCGAAGGCGGCUUACUGGACAGUAACUGACGCUGAGGCUCGAAAGCGUGGGGAGCAAACAGGAUUAGAUACCCUAGUAGUC